RNAcentral lists this ribosomal RNA (253 nucleotides) under uncultured bacterium. RNAcentral describes it as "partial 16S ribosomal RNA". It matches the Rfam family "Bacterial small subunit ribosomal RNA", at positions 524 to 776 of the family's 1533-position model. The record is from RNAcentral.
UACGAAGGGGGCUAGCGUUGUUCGGAAUUACUGGGCGUAAAGCGCGUGUAGGCGGGCCGUUAAGUCGGGGGUGAAAGCCCAGAGCUCAACUCUGGAAUUGCCUUCGAUACUGGCGGCCUGGAGCAUGAUAGAGGCGAGUGGAAUUGCGAGUGUAGAGGUGAAAUUCGUAGAUAUUCGCCGGAACACCAGUGGCGAAGGCGACUCGCUGGAUCAUUUCUGACGAUGAGACGCGAAAGAGUGGGGAGCAAACAGG